CUUGAACUUUUCAUUCUUCUGCCUCGGUAUCCUUUGUAGCUGAGUUUAGUGUGCAAUAUCACCCCUGGCUUUUAAACUACUGAAGUUUUUCUUGAUAUUUUUUUCAAAUCGUGAGGAGUUGGUUCCAGACCUGGGAUUUAAAUAAGUAUUUUAGUUCUUACAGAUGCUAAACUUCCAACUUAAUCUCAUUUCUGGAUGGAGCUCCGUAAACAAAAAGGAGAAAAAAAAAAUGUUCCUGUGGCCAAAAUUUUGAAAACUUCUACUUCAGAGCUACCUUAUACUGUAUGUAUUAGUCUGCUUUCCUGUCACUGGGAUAAAGUACCUGACACCAACAAUUUCAAGAGGGAGAUGUUUAUUUUGACUCAGUUUCCAUGGAUGCAGUUCAUGUCUGGUUGGUUCUGAGGCAACAAUGCCAUGGCGGAAGAGCAUGGCAGAGGAAAGCUCUUUACCGAACGGAAGCCAGGAAACAAGGAGAAGGGAAGAGCAAAGGGAGACUGUGGACAGAAAUCUCUACAAACUCAGGCAAAGUAAACCUCUCCUCCUAUAAGUUGAGAAUGCUGGGCCUGGUGUCUCAGUAAUAAGAGAAGAAUCCAGUUCCUGAAUUCAAAUUUUCAC
Molecule: long non-coding RNA, 615 nt
Filed under: Heterocephalus glaber (naked mole-rat)
Lineage: Eukaryota; Metazoa; Chordata; Mammalia; Rodentia; Bathyergidae
Description: lncRNA (ENSHGLG00000049067.1)
Source: RNAcentral